UACGAACCGUCCAAACGUUAUUCGGAAUUACUGGGCUUAAAGGGUGCGUAGGCUGUGCUGUAAGUCGGGUGUGAAAUCCCUCGGCUCAACCGAGGAACUGCGCCCGAUACUGCAAUGCUAGAGGGAGACAGAGGUGAGCGGAACUGAUGGUGGAGCGGUGAAAUGCGUUGAUAUCAUCAGGAACACCGGUGGCGAAAGCGGCUCACUGGGUCUCUUCUGACGCUGAGGCACGAAAGCUAGGGUAGCGAACGGG
RNAcentral lists this ribosomal RNA (253 nucleotides) under uncultured bacterium. RNAcentral's name for it is "partial 16S ribosomal RNA". It matches the Rfam family "Bacterial small subunit ribosomal RNA", at positions 524 to 776 of the family's 1533-position model. The record is from RNAcentral.